AACGCACAUUGCGCCCGCUAGUAUUCUGGCGGGCAUGCCUGUUCGAGCGUCAUUUCAACCAUCAAGCCCCAGGCUUGUGUUGGAGCCCUGCGGCUGCCGCAGCCUCCUAAAACCAGUGGCGGGCUCGCUAUCACACCGAGUGCAGUAGUUUACUCUUCGCUCAGGGCGUGUAGCGGGUGCUAGCCGUGAAACCCCCUACUUCUUAAGGUUGACCUCGGAUCAGGUAGGAAUACCCGCUGAACUUAA
Molecule: unclassified non-coding RNA, 246 nt
Filed under: uncultured Sordariales
Lineage: Eukaryota; Fungi; Ascomycota; Sordariomycetes; Sordariales
Description: sequence contains 5.8S rRNA gene, ITS2, 28S rRNA gene
Source: RNAcentral